UGCCACAUCCAGCACACAGAGCAUUCACAAAGAUUAGGCCAAUUGAAAAAGUGCCUCUAGGUGAAUUAGUAUUGCUCAAUUGUUUGAGCAUGCCAUCUCCUACACCAAAGACACAGUACUGGGCCUGCCUAUGAAGUUUUGUACAUAUUCAUUUUUGGACAUUUUAAGAGAUGUGGGGUUUUGCAAUAGCUUCUCUGUUGUAACUCCACUCCCAUCUGUGCUUCAACACAAGCUGAUACCUUUCUGGGCUGCACAUUCCAGCCAUAACUGUAAACAUUCCAAUACUCAAAGUCUUCACUUGGAUGAGAUAUAACCAACAACAAGUCAAUACUUGAAGUAUCAAUUUGUUCUUUCUCAGACGGGGCUGGAGUUGAGACGAACAUAAACCUCAGAUCACUUAUUCAAACCUCUCGUUGAUGGCAAACAACAAAAACAACUAAGAGACACAAGGACUGAUUUACCAUGCUGUGUUCAAGUACUACAGGAUAAUGGGCAGUGUACAAAUGAGAAAAUGGGAGACAAAUGGAUGCUACUAAGCACAUAUUCAAAUGGUCAUAUUACUUACUCUAAACCAGGCACUCCCUCAUCUCAGCUACUUUGCAGAAAAAAAUCCUCUGUGCAUAUACUCAAAAAAUGAGUAAGGAGCGGCAAGUAGGAAGGAAAAAGAGUGCGUCACGCCAGGGGAGAAGUAGAACGGGGGGAGGAUGGUUGGCAGGGCAGAAACAGAAAUGUUGCUGUUGGCAUAAGCCUCUGUAUUGUUCUUGUGAGUUGAACUAUUUAACUCUGAAACUACUGAAUUAUAUUAAACAUCAAAAUUCUAAACUAUUGCUUUUCCUUAGUGAAGAACAGUUCAAAAUGACCAAAACAAAGUGAGAUUUUGAACAAUACAAUAAGAAACCAUUUCCUAUGGAUAACAGAUAAGGCUGUGGCAGGCCUCACCUCUACUUCAGCAGCCUAAGGGUUAGCCAUAGCUAGUGCUGUAACUAAAACACACAGCACAGGGUAAAGCUUUGCUCAAGUUACAGUCCUCCUUCAGUGAGCCACAGGAUGGGUGAGUCAUGUGUUCAAGGACUUGGGCGCUUCACUGUUGUGGGCACAUUUCCAUUUUCUGAUUUCCAUGAGGCCACAGAAAACACUAAAAUGGCUUCCCUGAUUCAGAUGAUGGUUGCACCAACAUGACCCUAAAUCAUCCUAGCACAGCAAACCUUGAAUCACUUCACUCAUUGCACAAGUUUCUCCAUUUAUUUGAGGUUUAGCACUGUACUUUCAUAGAUCUGUAUGUAGAUAAGAUUAAUAAAGACAUUGUUUUAACAUGAAGGAAUCUUGAUAAAUGUUUCUGAAAUGUCAUCCUUGUACAAAGUCUAAACCAACAAGGACAAUACAAGAGUCUAUGCAGAUUUCAAAGACAAAAGGUCAUUUACCAGAGGCUGGAAAAAAUAAAAAUCAAUGUCUAGGAUACAUGAGAUAACAUUUUACCAGUCUUUAUAAAGCACACUGGAUAAUAAUCUUGGAAGACAAAUAUUUACCUCUUUGAAAUAAGGUACCCAUGGUUUCUCAAUGCUAUAUUACCUUAUAUGCAGCAUUUUGCCAAACUGAAAUUGCUGAAUAAAAAUAUACUUAAUUACUUGCCGGUCUCUGGUACACCACUGCUUGAGCUCCAGAGA
Molecule: long non-coding RNA, 1664 nt
Organism: Boleophthalmus pectinirostris (great blue-spotted mudskipper)
Lineage: Eukaryota; Metazoa; Chordata; Actinopteri; Gobiiformes; Gobiidae
Exons: 3
Source: RefSeq, a predicted model, not a curated record